AUUUGAACUAUGAUAGCUGAGGAGAUGGAGAAAUCACCACCAGUCUGAAUUACAUUGUCAAACUAAAGCAACCAUGCAUGGCAUCAGACAGGAGACGCGUCCAACCAUGAUGUAUACAGCACAUUUAGAGCCACCAACGCUCUGGAUAACAUGAAAACUGCCUAACCAGCUCUGCUAGGAUGUCUGGAAGUAGCUGGCAAGUUAGUACAGAACGCACGGAUCAACCCUUAAAGAGAUGCAUGGGAUAAGGCUGAAGAGGGCGUGAACGAUGCUGAAUGGGCGGGAUAAGGCUGAAGAGGGCGUGAACGAUGCUGA
Long non-coding RNA from Oncorhynchus masou masou (cherry salmon), 315 nucleotides. RefSeq lists it as uncharacterized. The transcript has 3 exons. Lineage: Eukaryota; Metazoa; Chordata; Actinopteri; Salmoniformes; Salmonidae. The record is from RefSeq and is a predicted model, not a curated record.